Molecule: long non-coding RNA, 1741 nt
Organism: Arachis stenosperma
Lineage: Eukaryota; Viridiplantae; Streptophyta; Magnoliopsida; Fabales; Fabaceae
Exons: 7
Source: RefSeq, a predicted model, not a curated record
AGUUGAAACCCUACGCGUGUGAUGUUGUUGCUCUUAGAUGGCCUAUGCGACAAUCUCCGAUCCUAUUGCGUUCUCCGACGAUCUUCUUCGGUGACAUCUCCUCCGUGAUCUCCUUCGGCGACAUCUCCUAAAGCGGCGAUAUCCUCCGGUGACGUCUCCUCCAGCUUCCUCUCCUUGUCAUCCUCUGUGUCUUCUUUGCCAAAAUCGUCAGCGCCUAAUUCCUCUGCGACGAUCCAGGCCUUUGCGAGGAUUCAUCGCGAGUGGAGAAGUCAGUUCCGCAGUUUGCACUGUUGACGACGUUCCUCCGCAAUUUGUGUUCUGCCGCUCUCGCUGCACUGCCGCCGCCGCCGCUGCCGCCGCCGUUUCUCCAUUCCUCUGCUUCGUGCCUUUGUCGCCGUCCCUCACUCUUCCAAAGAUAUGAAGGUGGCCACCAUGCUUGUGGAUCCUGCUGGAUUGUCAAGCUUACUACCUCUGCCUUGAAAAUUAUGGUGCUUCAAAGGGGCUAAUUUGAAAAGCUCUUACUGAACCUGGGGUUAAGCAUGCGUUGAUUGCAAUACAAGUGCUUCAGCAGGUUGCUUAAGAGAUUGAACUUUCCAGAAAUGAAGUUCAGCUUAUACUUAUGGGCUAUGAGGUAUGUGAAAUGCUAUUUUUCUGCACCUCUUUACUAUAAAAAGUUUGAUUGCAUACUUGCAAGACAUGAAAAUUGAAAUAGCACACUGGAUUUGCAAAUAUGCAUUUAGUUCUUAUAUUCAUGGAUAUGUUCCUGAUCUUAUUUUAUAUCUUGUUUAGCAUACAGUAGAAGCUCCUGGUAAUCUAGAGAUUUUGCUUUAAUUGAGAAGGAAAAGGUGUCGAUGAAGGAUAAGAUUUCAAUGUAGUACUUCAAGUUUACCAUUAUUUUACUUUAACUGACUAAAGUUUUUCUUUAUUAGUCCAACUUCCUUGCUGCUCUGCUGGUGAAGGAUCUUGUGUUUCAAAUGGAGCAUGUGAAGAUUGCAUAACAGUAACUGCACAAAUAACCUGGAAGCCCAACUAGUUUAAUUAAUAAAAUUCUUCCCAUGCUUAUUUUAACAUGUUCUUUUCAUUUCUUUUGGUUUUCCAUGGCAGGGAUAUCCUUAAAUGGUGCAACGGAAUUGUAGGUUUAGGUUUUUCUUUAAGAAUUCUAUUGUGUUGUCUGCUCUCAACUUUGUCAUAGUUAAUGUUCUUAACAGAAUCAGAACUUAGUUAGUUGAUUGAUAGGCAAACUUCCAAGUAAUUGCUUUUCCAUUUGUUUGUAGAGAUUCUUAGCACAAUGAGAGCAGUCUAAGGUGCACUAAUAGUAGCAUCAUGCAUACAAAUAAUUUUGGGAUUUAGUCAAAUAUGGGCCAUUUGUUCCAGGUUUUUCAGUCGACUUGGAUACAAAUACUAUUCUGAAUCUGAAUCAUUUGUGUUAGGUUGGGAGUUGGGUCGAAAUUGGAAUUCCCAUGCUAAUACUGUUUAUAGCCUUAUCUCAGGAAUUGGCUCAGGAGAGUGAGAUUCCAUAACCAGAAGAGUUAGGAAGUAGGUCUUUUGGAGCAAGCAACAAGGAAGCAUGACCUUGCUUGAUAUGUUAAGAUGUAUAUUAAGGAUUAUAUGUUAAGACGUAUUAUUGAAAAAUGUUACUUUGAUACUUUAUUUUUGGAUUAUGACAUUUCAAUUAUGACUUGGAUUAUGACUUUUGAAUCAUGUAAGAAUUAAUAAAAAUCAUCUUAUGAUGUUUGAUUUA